GGCGCCAUGGCUUAGUUGGUAAAAGCACCUGUCUAGUAAACAGGAGAUCCUGGGUUCAAAUCCCAGUGGUGCCU
Molecule: transfer RNA, 74 nt
Filed under: Podarcis lilfordi (Lilford's wall lizard)
Lineage: Eukaryota; Metazoa; Chordata; Lepidosauria; Squamata; Lacertidae
Rfam family: tRNA
About the family: Transfer RNA (tRNA) molecules are approximately 80 nucleotides in length. Their secondary structure includes four short double-helical elements and three loops (D, anti-codon, and T loops). Further hydrogen bonds mediate the characteristic L-shaped molecular structure. tRNAs have two regions of fundamental functional importance: the anti-codon, which is responsible for specific mRNA codon recognition, and the 3' end, to which the tRNAs corresponding amino acid is attached (by aminoacyl-tRNA synthetases). tRNAs cope with the degeneracy of the genetic code in two manners: having more than one tRNA (with a specific anti-codon) for a particular amino acid; and 'wobble' base-pairing, i.e. permitting non-standard base-pairing at the 3rd anti-codon position.
Source: Rfam by way of RNAcentral